Molecule: unclassified non-coding RNA, 288 nt
Filed under: air metagenome
Description: partial contains small subunit ribosomal RNA, internal transcribed spacer 1, and 5.8S ribosomal RNA
Rfam family: Eukaryotic small subunit ribosomal RNA (bases 1-46)
Source: RNAcentral
AAGUCGUAACAAGGUUUCCGUAGGUGAACCUGCGGAAGGAUCAUUACCUUUCAGUACAGAAGCGUUGUGUUGGUUGAGUUGUGCCGGUUGAGUCUCGCUGACAAGUGGGAUUCCUGGUGGCAACUCCCUUCAUAAUUCUCCCUGUCUAUCAUCCUUGUCUUUUGCGUACUAUUGUUUCCUCGGUGGGCUUGCCCACCGGUUGGACAACCUUAUAACCUAUUUAAUUUUCAAUCAGCGUCUGAAAUAAUAUAAUAAUUACAACUUUCAACAACGGAUCUCUUGGUUCUG